GAUGAACGCUGGCGGCGUGCCUAAUACAUGCAAGUCGAGCGAACAGAUGAGGAGCUUGCUCCUCUGACGUUAGCGGCGGACGGGUGAGUAACACGUGGAUAACCUACCUAUAAGACUGGGAUAACUUCGGGAAACCGGAGCUAAUACCGGAUAAUAUAUUGAACCGCAUGGUUCAAUAGCGAAAGACGGUUUUGCUGUCACUUAUAGAUGGAUCCGCGCCGCAUUAGCUAGUUGGUAAGGUAACGGCUUACCAAGGCAACGAUGCGUAGCCGACCUGAGAGGGUGAUCGGCCACACUGGAACUGAGACACGGUCCAGACUCCUACGGGAGGCAGCAGUAGGGAAUCUUCCGCAAUGGGCGAAAGCCUGACGGAGCAACGCCGCGUGAGUGAUGAAGGUCUUCGGAUCGUAAAACUCUGUUAUUAGGGAAGAACAAAUGUGUAAGUAACUAUGCACGUCUUGACGGUACCUAAUCAGAAAGCCACGGCUAACUACGUG
Molecule: ribosomal RNA, 497 nt
Filed under: uncultured bacterium
Lineage: Bacteria
Description: partial 16S ribosomal RNA
Rfam family: Bacterial small subunit ribosomal RNA
Source: RNAcentral